UAAAGUGCAUUAUUAGAUUGUUUCUUUGAAGUUUUUGUCCUUUUUUUGAUGUAGGCACUUACACCUGUAAACAUCCCUCUUAGUAUUGCUUUUGCUAUAUCCCAUGGGGUUUGGUAUGUUGUCUUCCCAUUUAUCAUUGGUUUCAAGAAUUUUAAAAAUUUCUUUCUUAAUUCCUUCAUUGACUCACUGGUCAUUCGGGAGCAUAUUGUUUAAUUUCCAUGUAUUUUUAUAGUUUCCAAAAUCCUCUUAUUACUGACUUCUACUUUUAUUCCAUUAUGGUCAAAGAAAAUGCUUGAUAUUAUUUCAUUUUUUUGUAUGUUUUAAGACUUGUUUGUGACCUAACAUAUGAUCUGUCUAUGUGCUGAGGUAAAGCUUGUACAUUCUGCAGCUCUUGGGUAAAAUGUUCUGUAAAUAUCUAUUAGACUCAUUUGUUCUAUAGUGCGGUUUCAGUAUGAUGUUUCUGUGUUGAUUUUCUGUCUGGAAGAUCUGUCCAGUGAUGAACAUGGGGUGUUGAAGUCUCGAACUAUUAUUGUAUUGAGGCCCAUCUCUCUCUUUAGCUCUGAUAAUAUUCCCUCUAUAUAUGUGGGUGCUGCCAUUUUGGGUGUGUAUAUAUUUAAAAUUGCUAUAGCAAUUGCCUUAACUUUUUCCUCAUGCUGUCUAACUUUGUUGUUUCUAUUUAUAUCUUACUGUGUCUUGUAUAUAUUUACUAUGUCUUGUAAAGCUGUUGUGAUUAUUAUUUCUGACUGGUUCAUUAUUUAGUCUUUCUACUUAUGAUAAGAGUAGUUUGCACACCACAAUUACAGUAUUAUACUAUUCUGAGUUUUUCCAGACCUUUUGGAGCUCCAUUGCAUGUUGUUUCUUUUCUCUUGCUGCUUUUAGGAUCCUUUCUUUAUCCUUGAUCCUCAGGAGUUUGAUUAUUAAAUGCCUUGAAAUAUCUUCUUGGGUUAAAUCUGCUUGGUGUUCUGUAGCCUUCUUGUACUUGGAUAUGAUACCUUUCUCUAGGUUGGGGAAGUUCUCUGAUAUCAUCCCUGUGAAUAAAUGUUCUACCCCUAUCUUUUUCUCUACCUUCUCUUUAAGACCAAUAAGUCUUAGAUUUGCCUCAUUUGGGGCUAUUUUGUAGAUCCUGUAGAUCCAUUGUUUUUUUUUUUUUUUCUUUUGUUUCCUCUGGUUUCCUCUGGCUGUUUAUUUUCAAAUAGGCUGUCUUCAUGCUAAUUCUUCUGCUUGAUCCAUUCUGCUACUAAAGGACUCUGGUGCAAUCUCCAGCAUGCCAGUUGUAUUUUUCAGCUCUAGAAUUUUUGCUUGAUUUUUAAUUAUUAUUUCAAUCUCUUUGUUAAAUUUAUCUGAUAGAAUUCUGAAUUCCAUCUCUGUGUUAUCUUGAGUUUCUUUGAGUUUCCUCAACACAGCUAUUUUCAAUUCUGUGUCUGAAAGGUCACAUAUCUCUGUUUCUCCAGAAUGAGUCCCCAGUGCCUUAUUUAGUUCAUUUGGUGAGGUCAUGUUUUCCUGCAUGGUCUUCUUAUUUGUAGAUGUUCAUCUGUGUCUGGGCAUUGAGGAGUUAGGUAUUUAUUAUAUCUUUACUAUCUGGGCUUAUUUGUAGCCAUCCUUCUUGGAAAGGCUUUUCAUGUAUUUGAAAUGACUUGGGUGUCGCAAUCUUUAGGAGGCACCCCAAGCCCAGUAAUGUGGGUUCAUGUAGACUCUUAGAGGUACCACCUAGAUGGUCUUGAAAAAGAUCCAGAAGAAUUCUCUUGAUUACCAGGCAGAGACUCUUGUUCUCUUCCCUUACUUUUUUGCAAACACACGGAGUCAUGGUGUCUCUUCUGAGCCACCUAAAGCCUGGGGGAAGAGUGACACAAGCAGCCCUGUGGCCACCACUGCUAUGACUGCAUUGGGUCAGACCUGAAGCCAGCACAGUGCUGGGUCUUGCCCAAGGUCUGCCUUAACCACUCCUUGACUACUGCCUAUGUUUGCUCAAGGCCCGGGGGCUCUACAGUCAGCAGGUGGCAAAGCCAUCCAGGCCUGUGUCCUUCCCUUCUGGGUGGCAAGUUCUCCCAGUCCCUGGGUGGGUCCAGAAGUGCUGUCUGGGGGUCAGGGACUGGAGUCAAAACCUUAGAAGUCUACCUGCUAUUCUGUUGUACUGUGGCUGAGCUGGCCCUCAAAACACAAGACACAGUCCUUCCUGCUCUUCCCUCCUCUUUCCAAAGGCAGAGAAGCCUCAUGCUGUAGCCAUCACCACCCCAGCCACGAGGAGUACUGCCAGAAACUGAUGUUUCCUUAAGGUCUAGGGUCUCUUAAGUCAGCUUGUGGUGAAUGCUGCCUGGCCUGGGAUUCAUGCUUCAGGGCAGUGGGCUCCCUGUGGACCAGGGCAGGUCCAGAAAUGCCAUCCAAGGGUCAGGUCCUGGAAUCUGGGACCCCAAGAGCUGGCUUGGUGCUCCACCCCUUUGAGGCAGUUUUGGUAGCUGGUUUUCGGUUCUUAUAAAGGUGUUUUUGUUCUGCGUAGAUGUUAACUUGAUGUCCUUGCCUGGGGGUUACCAUCAGUGGAACUUUCUCUUCAGCCAUCUUUCUCCACUUCCUAAUCGAGUAUUCCUUUUAACAUGCAGAAUACUUUAAAAUUCUCAUAUGGAUAAACCGAUUAAUCUUCCCUCUAAACUUCUGCCUUUGGGGUCUUAUUUAGGUUUCUCCUACCCGUAUCAUACAAAUAUUUACCAUAUUUUUUCUUACUCCAUUUUUUGACUUUUUUUGUUUUUUUGUUUUGAGAAUAACAAAAGUAAUAUUAAUUAAUCAUAAAAAUACUGAAGUGGCAUAUACAUUUCUGUAUUGGAUAUGUAUUUUUUAAUGUAUACCAAUGAGAUGGGGCAAUUCUGUGUUAUAUUAUAACACACAUUUUGGCCAUUAGGCAGAUGAAGCACCUUUUCAUUUGUAAAUACGUGAUUUGUGCUUUCUCUUUUGUACAGUUCCUAAUUAUAUUCUUGCCCAUUUCCCCACUGUGUUUUACAAGUUCUUAGUAAUUUGAAUGAACUACAUAUAUUCUAAAUAUUACCUUUUUGUUUUACAUACAUUGCAAAUAAUCCCUUCCAGUCUAUCACUUGCCUUUAACAUUAUUUAUCAAUAUUUUGCUUAAAGGGGAGGUUUUACUUUUUAGGUAGCAAAAUUUGUUCAUUUUUAACUUCACGAUAUUUGUAUUUCAUGUCGUAAGUAAAAGGCAUUACUUACUACAAGGAUAUAAAGAAUUACUUUCUUGUAGAAAUGAUUUUAUUUUCAUAUCAAAGUCUUUAUGUUAGUUGGAAUUUAUUAUGGGUUUUCUCAAAUUCCACAUAGCCAACUUUCUCAAAACAAUUCCAUUCUCUACUGAUUUCAAAUGCUCCAUUUGUCGUCUUUGAAAGUCUUAUCUAUAAGUCAUGUCUGACUGCCAUGAAUGUGUUUUGUAUCAGCACACUACCCUAGGAUUGUAAUAUCCCUGGUAACCAGUAGAGGCAGGCCUCCACUCCCUGUUAUUCUCUUUCUUUUCUUUUGGACAAAAAGUGGCUAUUUUUACAUGGGCUUAUUUUUUACAUAAACUUUGAAAUAUUUUAUCAAAUCACACACAAACUGCCAUGUGAUUAAAAUUUCAGCCUUUUAGAUAUAAACUUUGGGACAAAGGUCAUCUCUAUUUUUUAAGUUUUCUAAUUCAGGAUUUAGGUUUAUGAAAGUUUUCUUGACUACUUCAAGUGUAUCUUAUAUAUUUCUUACUUCAUUUCUAUAAAUUCGAUAGCUGUUUUUCCCAUUGUGAUUAUAAUCCUGUUUUCUUUUUUCUGUUUGUUUAUAGCAUAUAUCAAGGAAAGCCAUUGACUUUUUUCAGUAUUUACUUUGUAUCCAGUCAUGAUCAUCUUAGACUCCCUAUAUGAGUUUUAAAAUGUUUGAUCUUUUUCUUUGCUUUUAAAAUUUUAAGUGACAUAUGAUUUCUUUUUCGAGGUCUGGUAGAACACAGGCAUAAAAUGAAAUGAGUUUGAUGUUCUUCUCUGGGAUCUGUCUUAAAUUUGAUAAAAGUUUUCACAACAUUUUUGAGUAAAUUUGGAGGUUGCCAAAACAAACCUCAUUAUUUUAUUCUUCUAUUUAUAAGUCAAAGAGCACAAUUUUGUGUCAUCUGGUGGUUAUUCUUGGAAAUCUUGUGAUAGUACAGGCAUAAAAUUCAUUUGGGCAAUUUUAUUAUUGCAUAUUUAGGGCCAGAUAAAGCAAAGACAACAUCAAGAAUAGUAAUUCGAUGAAGCAAGACAUGAAUGUAAGUCAUAGUUGCAUAAACAAAAUACAAGUAUUCUAAACAAUAUUUAAAAAUAAUCAGUAGCUAUGAUCUUUAAAUACUCAUGUUAGAAUAUUGUUUAAAAAUUCAAAAACUUUGAAGAGUUUACCAGAAAUACAGAGAGUUCCCACACAAUUUUGUUGUUAAAAGGGAAUCUCUGUUAUCUGAGUACAGAAUAAUUUGGUCACAAUAUAAAAAAAUUCAAAGUAUAAUUUCAUUCUGUGUAUGUAAUCCAAAUAACAAUUUUUAUUGCAUUUGUAAGCUUUUUAAAAAAUGAGUAAAUCCACUAAUAUGGUGUAUAACAUAUUUCUUCUUUAACACACACAGACUUUAACAAUUAAUGGUAGUAUAUUUUUAUAUGUUUAGACAUGCAUAAGUUGAUAAGUAUGUAAAUGCAUAAUGAAAUUACAACCUUAAUUUAAAGAUAUAAUUAAUCAUAGUUGAAUUUAAAGUACAUAUGUUACAUGUACCUUUUUAUGUUAAAUUACUGUUUUUAGUAAAUUAACUUCCCUUAUCAUUAUCUUUGCCAGUAUACAUAUUAAUGUUUUCUAAUUACUAUACCAAAUAUAGUCUUUAUAUUUUUAUUUAUAUAUUUUUUAAUGUGGGCGUCAGAUUGAAUUAUUAUACCAAAUAUAGUCUUAAUUAUUAUUUUUAUUAAUUACCAGCUUUAAUUAAAAUUAUAAACUCUUGUUUUCUUCAGACACAGAGAAAACUAGAAAGAAGACAGGAAUCCAAAAACUGCCUAAUUUUUUUAAGUACACAUUUUAGAUUAUCUUUAUAGAUGUUAAAGUAAUAAAACAAAUGCCUAUAUUAAAUCCAAUGCAUUUGGACAUUCUCUUGGUUUGUAAAUCAUUUGAUAAUAUAUAAGGAUAGAGUAAAUUGGAACAUGUUUAUGACUAAAGUUUAAUAUUUGUGGUGAUUUUUAUGUAUAUUUUAAAAUGUGUUAACCUUUAUUUGAACUUUUUUUUUCCUUUAAGAAGUGGAGCCUAAAUCGUCUCCCCUUGAAUAUGGCCUAGAUUUAGGGCACAUUUCUAGUGAAUAGAAAAAAGUGGAUGUGACAGUUUGUGACUUAGGAGAUGAGGUAAGGAAAGGCACUACAGUUUUCUCCUCCCACCUUCCUCCGGAAUCAACUGCUCCAGGAAAAGCCAACUGCUAUGUGGUGAAGACUUUGAAGCAGCUUUGUGAGGAGGUCCAUGUAGCGAGGAACUGAGAGGCUUUUAGCUAACAACCAUAGGACUGAGUCAUCUUGGAAAUGGACCCUCCAGCCCCAGCCAAACUGUUGGAUGACUAUAGCCCUCCCUGGCUGACAUCUUGACUGCAACCUAAAAGGCUUUAUGAAAACUCCAGAAGUCAUCAGUACCCCGGGCAAGUGGAAAACAAAGAACAGCUGCCUUGGAAUGGGCAAGAAAAGCUGUUGAAUUUCAGCCCUUUCCCCAAGUGGGCACUGUUUGGUGUAACCAGGAGAAAAUGUUCAACUGUUGGCUUCUCCCUUGGGAGUGGAAGAGAAAAGGGGAACAGAAGUUUGACAAUCUGGCUUUUCAGGGUGCUACCUGAGUGCCUGAUUUCUGUCUUGCAUGACUUGGAGUACUAAAGGGGAAUCCACCUACUCUGAAUAAGUGGGGGCCACUGAGAAGAAAGGAGAUCUCAGCAGCCUGUUGCAGCACCAGAAAACCUGUGGGACUGCAUACAGACACCAAAGGAGCAAGAGAUUAUGAGCUUCUGAGAAAGAAACAAGCAAACAUUGCUGAUUGGAAAAGUAUGCGCACACGUCCAGAGAAGAUACAUCCCCAGGGAGGUUAGAGAAGCUUCCAGAAUAUAUAGCCUGGCUCAUUGGUGAAGGUCUUAUCUUGUAUGAAGCCAGUCAUGAGAAAAAUGGUUGUUUUUUUUUAAAUGACAAAUCUCAGCCAAAGCAUAACUUGGCAUACAAAGAACCAGGGGAUCAUGGCCCAAUCAAAGGAAAAGGAAUCUCUAGGAACUGGCCUUAAUAUCCAUCGAGUAGAUCUUGUGUUGAAUUAUAAAUCCCAAUGCUGGAGGUGGAUCCUGGCAGGAGGUGUUUGAACCAUGAGGGUGGAUCCCUCACAGCUUGGUGCUGUCUUCAUGAUAGUUCUUGUGAGAUCUGAUCAUUUAGAGACUGGAAACUUCCUGAGGCUUCUCCAGAAGCAGAUGCCAAUAUGCUUCCUGUAUCACUUGCAGAACCGUGAGCCAACUAAAUCUUUUUCUUACAAAUUACUCAGCUUCAGAUAUUUAAAGCCGUGCAAGAACAGCCUAACGCAGGUAGUAUGGCCAUUUUAUGAUAUUGAUUCUUUCAAUCCAUGACCUAUGGAAUGUUUUUCCUUUUUUGGGGGGGUGGGGGUUCAACUCUGAUUUCUUUCAGCAGUGUUUUGUAACUUUCCUCUUCAGUUUGCUGUAUGCCUAGUCACUUCAAUUUUGUGUAGCUGCUGUAAAUGGGAUAGUGUUCUUUAUUUAGCUCUCAGCCUGAAUAUUAUUGGUGUACAGAAAUGCUACUAAUUUUUGGCCGGGUGCGGUGGCUCAUGCCGGUAAUCCCAGCACUUUGGGAGGCCAAGCUAGGCAGAUCAUGAGGUCAGGAGAUGGAGACCGUCUUUGCUAACACGGUGAAACCCUGUCUGUACUAAAAAUUAAAAAAAUUAGUGGUGGUGGGCGCCUGUAGUCCCAGCUACUCGGGAGGCUGAGGCAGGAGAAUUGCUUGAACCCGGGAGGUGGAGGUUGCAGUGAGCCGAGAUUGCGCCACUGCACUCCAGCGUGGGCGACAGAGCAAGACUCUGUCUCAAAAAAAAAAAAAAAAAAAAGAAAUGCUACGAAUUUUUGUACAUUGAUUUUGUAUUCUGAAACUUUACUACAGUUGUUUAUCAGCUGAAAGCCUGAAAAUCAUAAUAACAAGUUCUGAAAUGGAAUCAGUAAUGAAAAUAGCAACCAAAACAGGCCCUGGACCAGAUGGAUUUACAGCCAAAUUCAAUCAGAUAUAAAAAGAGAACUAGUACCAAUCCUAAUGAAAGUAUACCAAAGAUAGUUGCAGAGGAGGCUCCUUGCUUUCUUUUUUUUAAUUAUUAUACUUUAAGUUCUGGGACAUGUGUAGAACAUGAAGGUUUGUUACAUAGGUAUACAUGCGUUAGGGUGGUUUGCUGCACCCAUCAACCCGUCAUCUACAUUAGGUAUUUCUCUUAAUGCUAUCCCUCCCCUAGCCCCUAGUCCCCACCCCCCAACAGGCCCUGGUGUGUGAUGUUCCUCCCUGUGUCCAUGUGUUCUCAUUGUUUAACUCCCAGUUAUGAGUGAGAACAUGGGUGUUUGGUUUUCUGUUCUUGUGUUAGUUUGCUGAGAAUGGUGGUUUCCAGUUUCAUCCGUGUCCCUGCAAAGGACAUGAACUCAUCCUUUUUUGUGGCUGCAUAGUAUUCCAUGGUGUAUAUAUGCCACAUUUUCUUUAUCCAGUCUAUCAUUGAUGGGCAUUUGGGUUUGUUCCAAGUCUUUCCUAUUGUGAACAGUGCUGCAGUAAACAUACGUGUGCAUAUAUCUUUAUAGUAGAAUGAUUUAUAAUCCUCUGGGUAUAUACCCAGUAAUGGGAUUGCUGGGUCAAAUGGUAUUUCUGGUUCUAGAUCCUUGAGGGAUCACCACACUGCCUUCCACAAUGGUUGAACUAAUUUACACUCCCACCAACGGUGUAAAAGUGUUCCUGUUUCUCCACAUCCUCUCCAGCAUCUGUUGUUUCCUGACUUUUUAAUGAUCACCAUUCUAACUGGCGCAAGAUGGUAUCUCACUGUGGUUUUGAUAUACAUUUCUCUAAUGACCAGUGAUGAUGAGCAUUUUUUCAUUUGUUUGUUGGCCACAUAAAUGUCUUCUUUUGAGAAGUGUCUGUUUAUAUCCUUUGUCCACUUUUUGAUGGGGUUGUUUGUUUUUUUCUUGUAAAUUUAAGUUCUUUGUAGAUUCUGGAUAUUAGGCCUUUGUCAGAUUGUAAAAAUUUUCUCCCAUUCUGUAGGUUGCCUGUUCACUCUGAUGCUAGUUUCUUUUGCUGUGCAGAAGCUCUUUAGUUUAAUUAGAUCCUAUUUGUCAAUUUUGGCUUUUGUUGCUAUUGCUUUUGGUGUUUUAGUCAUGAAGUCUUUGCCGAUGCCCAUGUCCUGAAUGGUAUUGCCUAGGUUUUCUUCUAGGGUUUUUAUGGUUUUAGGUUUUACAUUUAAGUCUUUAAUGUAUCUUGAGUUAAUUUUUGUAUAAAGUGUAAGGAAAGGGUCCAGUUUCAGUCUUCUGCAUAUGGCUAGCUGGUUUUCCCAACUUCAUUUAUUAAAGAGGGAGUACUUUCCUCAUUGCUUGUUUUUGUCAGGCUUGUCAAAGAUCAGAUGGUUGUAGAUGUGCGGCAUUAUUUCUGCAGCCUCUUUUCUGUUCCAUUGGUCUAUAUAUCUGUUUGGUACUAGUACCAUGCUGUUUUGGUUACUUUAGCCUUGUAGUACAGUUUGAAGUCAGGUAAUGUGAUGCUUCCAGCUUUGUUCUUUUGGCUUAGGAUUAUCUUCGCUAUACAGACACUUUUUUGGUUCCAUAUGAAAUUUAAAGUAGUUUUUUUCUAACUCUGUGAAGAAAGUCAGUGGUAGCUUGAUGGGGAUAGCACUGAAUCUAUAAAUUACUUGGGGCAGUAUGGCCAUUUUCACAAUAUUGAUUCUUCCUAUCCAUGAGCAUGGAAUGUUUUUCCAUUUGUUUGUGUCCUCUCUUAUUUCCUUGAGCAGUGGUUUGUAGUUCUCCUUGAAGAGGUCCUUCAUAUCCCUUUUAAAUUGGAUUUCUAGGUAUUUAAUUCUCUUUGUAGCAAUUGUGAAUGGGAAUCCACUCAUGAUUUGGCUCUCUGUUUGUCUAUUAUUGGUGUAUAGGAAUGCUUGUGAUUUUUGCACAUUGAUUUUGUAUCCUGAGACUUUGCUGAAGUUGCUUAUCAGCUUAAGGAGAUUUUGGGCUGAGACGAUGGGGUUUUCUAAAUAUACAAUCAUUUCAUCUGCAAAGAGAGACAAUUUGACUUCCUGCCUUCCUGUUUGAAUACCCUUAUUUCUUUCUCUUGCCUGAUAGCCCUGGCCCAAACUUCCAAUACUAUGUUGAAUAGGAAUGGUGAGAGAGGGCAUCUGUAAAGGAGGCUCCUUUCUAACUCAUCUUAUGAAGCCAGCAUCAGCCUGAUAACAAAAUCUGACAGAUACAAUGAGAAAAGAAAACAUCCAGCCAGUAUGCCUGAUGAACAUAGAUGCAGAAAUGUUCAAUAGAAUACUAGAAAGCUGAAUCCAGCAGCAUAUCAAAAAGUUAAUUCACCAUGACCAAGUAGGCUUUAUUAUUGAGAUCCAAGGCUCAUUCAGCGUAUGCAAAUCACUGAAUGUGAUUUACCACAUAGACAGGUUUAAAAGCAAAAUCCAUAGGAUCAUAUCAAUAGAUAAGAAAAAAGCUUUUGAUGAAAUCCAACCUCCGUUCAUGAUAAAAAACCCUCAACAGACUAGGCAUCAAAGGAAUACACCUCAAAAUAAUUAGAGCCAUCUACGUCAAACUCAGACCAAACAUCAUAAUGAAUACGCAAAAUUUGAAAGUAUUUCCCUUGAGAGCCAGAACAAGAAAAGAAUGCUCACUCUCAUUACUCUCAUUUAACAUAGUACAAGAAGUCCUAACCAGAGCAAUCAGGCAAGAAAAGAAAUAAAAGACAUCCAAAUAGGAAAAGAAGUCAAACUAUCUCUCUUUGCUGAUGAUAUGAUUGUAUACCUGAAAAACCCUAAAAAUUUCACUCAUAUGUUCCUGCAUACUGUCAGUUUUGUCCAUUAAUAUUUAUAGCAUAUUAACUGCAGUUGUUUUAAAUUCUCAGUCUUAUAAUUCUUCAACCUGAUUGAUUGAUUGGUUGGUUUUUGCCUUUUAGUAUGCCUUGCAAUUUUUGCUUGAUGCACUGUGUGUAGCAAACUGCUGUAAACAGGGCUUUGGUAAUGUGGUGAUAAGGUGUGGGGGGUAGGAAUUGUUCUAUAGUCCUGUGGUUAGAUUUCAUUAUUUUGGUGAACCUGUGCCUCUGGACUGUGAACUUCACGAGUACUUUUUGUAACCCACACCCUCUUUUUAGGUGAAACAUGAUGAGUUGAGGGGGCUGGAGUUAGAUAUUUUUCUGCAGUCACCUAGGAUGCUAAAUUUGGUUGGAGUUGGGUAUUGCCUUCAAUUUAGACCAGUUGAUUCCCAUAAAACCCCAGCAAGUUAGGCUCUGGUUACAUAGCUUCUCCUUAGAGUACAAUAUGCUAUGAAGAACAGAAUGCUCUGUUGUAUUUCAAAAUUGUUUCUCCAUCCCCUGCCCUUCCACUACUUUCCAAAAGCAGAAGGGUGAGUUUUCUCUGAAAUUCACUCAGACAGCCUGGGGGAACUCUAGACAAUAAAACACACAAAAGUAUGUGUCUGUGGGUGAGAGGGGUGCAGGGGAGCUGAUUUUCAAGUCCGCCUGAAGCAUUUACUCUCAGACUUGUCCUCACUGAGCCAUCAGCAAUUCAACAAUUACAGUUCAGGUUUUUCUGUACCAGAGCCUGUUCCCACAGAGGCUUCUGCUCCUGUAAGAUCUGGUUUUUUUGUAUCUGCCUCUCUGUCGCUCCAAUUUUGGGAGCAUGGGUUUAUCUUGUACCUCUUCUUUCUUGAUGAUCUAAGAAGUGUUAGAAUUGUUUAUUUUUCAUUUUGUUCUCUUUUUACUUGCUGUUCAGGAGUGGUGACUUCUGAGCUUUUUAUCUGCUGCUUUGGAAACUGGGAGUUCCCUGUUACUUGUUUUCUGCCACAAUUUUUUAAAAGGUUUUUGUUGGUAAACCGUACAGGAUAGUUGUUAUCUCUGCUUCUGAAAGUCAACCUGUAUUUUGGGCUUCUUCUACAACCUUCGCAGUCUCUGGAUUGCAUGCUAGAAGCUGGCUCACCACCACCAAGUUCUUCUAAACUAAUCACUUGGGAAGGGAGAAAGACGGUGCAGAAGGAAAGUAGCUUAUUCCUAAGAAAAUGGCACAGAAUUUCCUUACAUGUUUUUCACUGACAUCUUACUGGACACAAUUUAAUGGCCUCACAUUACUCCAAGGGAGGCUAGGGCAUUUGGAUUCUAUCUUGGAGGCCAUGUGCCCAGCAAAAAAGAUAAUAGAUAUUAGAGGACAAAUAGCAUUCUCUGCCAUAAUCUGAUUCAGAUUUUGACCAAUUUGGUUGACCAAAAAGUAAAGAAAUUAGCAGAAUUUAUGUAUCCACUAAGUUCUUACUGUGUAUUAUACAAUUUUAGGCUUUGGGGUGCAAUAAUAUGAUAGCAUUAGGUAGUAGAACUUUAAAUACCUCAAAUAGAAAAUAUGGAUUUUAUUCAACUAUACAUGGGAACAUUUACAAAAAUGAUCAUGUAUUAGACACAAAUAAAAGUUUAACAUUUUAAAAAGCUGAGUGUAUAGUCCAUAUUCUUUAAUUACAUUCCAACAAAAAUAGAAGUAAAUAUGUAAAAGAUAACAAAAACAUGUUAGAAGUUAAGCACAUUUUUGAAAAAAGAGAAAAUAAAAAAUACGUCAUGGAGAAACCGGUUUAAAAGGACCCUUCUUGGCAAGGCUAAAGAGAAACAGAGUGAUAGUCUUUUAUUUAAAGCUGAAGUACUCAGAUUUAAACCCAGUAUUUCUGUUAAGAAAUAAGAAAAAGAAAAUAAAAACACUUGUCUUAAAAUAUUUUAAAAUGUUAUUUACAGUGAAAAACUGAGGAAAUAUAAAACCAAUAUAAGAAAUAAAUAUAACCAAAAGUGAAAUUUUGGAAAUACAAGUGAAAUAAAUUGCUCUCAAAUUUCAGUAAGUGAAAAAAAAAGCCAAGUGAAACUACAAUAUUAGUAAAGAAAAAGAACCACAACUACAGAAGAGAUUGAAAAAAGAAUAAAUACAUCAUGCAAUUUUUAAGAAUACAUCACGCAAUUUUUAAGAAUACAUCAUGCAAUUUUUACCAAUCAAUUUAAGGACCAAGAAGAGAGAGUAUUUUUGAAUGAAAUUUAAAACAGAUAAAAAAUAACUCCAGGAGUGUUAAGCUUGAAUAGAUGAAUUAUCAUAUCAGAAAGGUGAGUAUCAGCUACAGUAAUACAGGCAAUAAGAUUAUUUUCAUAGCUGAGUUCUAGCUAACCUUUACAGAACAUAUCAUUAAAUUUUAAUGGGUUUUAAAAUAAUUCCAGACCACAGGGCACCAAAAUGGAACUCUCAAUGGUUCAUUUUUAUUAAUUUAGCAAAGCAUUAAUACUAAACCCUCAUGGUGCAAAAUAUUACAUAUGGAUGGAAAUGGAAAUAUUACAUAUAAAUGGUGCAAAAUAUUACAUAUGAAUGGAAAUGGAAAAACAUCUGGAUAAUGUAUUUGCAAAGACAAGUCACCAAACAUAAGAAAAAUAUAACCUAAGCAAAUAAAUGCAAUAGUAAAAGAGAUUCAGUCUCAGAAAACUCAAUGGUGCAAUCCCCAUUUUAAAAGAGAAAAGCAUUGCAAUCAUCUCAAUAGAUGAUGAAAGAAAAAUAAUUGAUAGAUAUUUCUAACAAAAAGUAUACUAGAAAUGGAAUGAAAUGACUUAAACACUUUUCAAAAAAUGAAUAAACAAUGUCAUUCUACAAUGGCAAAAUACUAGUACCAUUUCCAUUUAUAUUGGGAACCACAAGCAUACUCACUAUUAAUAUGCAAGAGUAAAGAAAUAUAAAUAAAUAAUAAUAUAAAGGAAAUUGAAGUAAAUGGUGUAUAAGCUUGAAAUGUGAUAAAACCGUCUUCUUUGUAAUCAUAUUAUUCACUUAGAAAACUCGUGACCAAUGGAGUCAGGCAGAAGGGUGGACCACGCACCCGCUGCCCAGCCCUUUCUAUGUCCUGAAUCUUGUGAGCUGCUGCUGGUGGAGAAGGCACUCCCCAAACUCUCCCAGCUCAGGGCAAAUCUCUUCUUGCCUGGUUGCCAGCCUGUGGCUGCCAUGGGUGUGGACCCUAGACAUUGGAGGGACAGCCCCUCCCCACUUUUCUGUGGUGGCCCUUGGCUCUUGCUGCUGCCACUUCUGCUUUCUGGGACUAGGACUCGGGUUUAUGCUGUGCCUUACUCCAUCCCACUCCCUAGUGAACAGCAUUGGAUUUGUUUGUAUGGACAACAAGCUGUGGCAUAGUCAUUAACGCCUGUGUUGGGGAAACAGCACACAAGCAUUCAAUGGCAAACACUUCAUCAUAUCAAAGAUGGAGAACUCUUGUAGUCAUUUGUCAUGUCUUCUGCAGACAAAAGAUACCAAAAAGUUGCAAAGAACUGCCCAUCUUGUUGAUAAGCCCACUAAUAAGCCAAAAAUCUGUCAACAUCAACCACAGCAUGUCCAAAUAUGCCCCAUUUGACUGCUAAGGUUGAGGGCAAAGGAAAUGGAAUCAAGACAGUUACAGUCAACAUAGUUGACAUUGCAAAGGGCCCAAUUGGCUUCCUAUGCAUUUUGUUUGUAAGCUAGAAGCACCACCCCAGUGAUGGCAAGACAGAGUUUUGGUCUUGUUGCCCAGGCUGGAGUGCAGUGGAGCGAUCUUGGCUCACCACAACCUCUGCCUCCCAGGUUCAAGCAAUUCUCCUGCCUUAGCCUUCCUAAGUAGCUGGGAUUACAGGCAUGUGCCACCACGCCUGGCUAAUUUUGUAUUUUUAGUAGAGAUGGGGUUUCUCCACGUUGGUCAGGCUGGUCUUGAACUCCCAACCUCAGAUGAUCUGCCCAGCUCGGCCUUCCAAAGUGCUGGGAUUACAGGCGUGAGCCAUCUUGCCCAGCUGACUUUUUCAUAUUAAAUAUUUAGGCCUAAAUGGAUUUAAGUUUUGGAAGAUGAAUUCUCUUGGGGAAGGGAACAGGAACAAUUCUGGUGUUCAUAUAAAAAAGAGAGGGAAAGGACAGCCCUGCCCACUCUUCCAAAGGUCUUGAGGGUUGAGUUCACUUUCCCCUGAGCUCAGCUCACUCACUCAGACCUGCUGGAAUAUGGACACAGAUGAAGGAGCCAAGGCUGUUCACCAUUUAAAGCAUGCUGAUAUCUCAACUCCCUAUGGUUUUCCUUCUACCAUUUCUUUCCUUACAUAGGAGUAGAGUGAUGCAGCUCUACUUGCGUAAACCAUCACCUCCCACCCUCUUUUCCAUCAAAGCUUUUGUGCUCAGGUUUAUACAUAGUGUGUGCUCCCAGUCUCCAAAUAGACUGAAGUAGCCAUUCUUGUGCUCACUUGGGUUAGAGAUUGACCAGAAGUUUCCAAACUCCCUGUGAGAAGCUGUGUCCAUAAGAUAGAUGUCUUAGUACACCAAGGUCUUUCCACAGCCUCUCUGGGUCUGUUUUUUUGGAUAGGUAUUACAUCUGAUGAAAGGCGAGGAGUGAAAAAGAGUGACAAUGAAUUUAAGAAUAAUUUUUUCUUCACUUUAUGUUUUUAUGGAUCCAAGGCAUGCCCCAGCCAAGACGGCACAUCAGUUGGGGCAUUCAGGAUUUCAGUACUCCAAUGGGUGUUCCAGCAGGGGGCGCCCAACAACCACUAUGAAGUGAGCUCUUAGCAUCCUGUGCUGUGACCCAGUGGCCAGGAGGAGACUAAGAAACCUGCCUCUUCUGCCUGCAUGGUGCACAUGCAUUUUGGUGCAUUUAGGAGGACUGUUGUUUGGUUUCUGGUGCCCUCUGUUGGACCUCCUGCUGAACCGCUGAAAUUCUCAAAGCCCACGUGUUCCUGCUCAUCUGGCUGUGACAUGGCUUGGAGACAAGGUGGAAUUCAAAAGGAAUCCAUUUCAAUCAUGCCUGAAUGACAGCACCUGCUCCAACUCUCCUUAGAACAGAGAAGAAAACCUGGAAGACACGAGCCACUUAUUUCCACCAUCAGAUUCUUCUGCAGAUCUUCACCCUGUAGGACACAGAUGAUUACAGUGCUAUUAGGGAUAUGAUCCAAUGAGAUAAAUCACUAGGCUGUAUCACAAUCACAACUUGAGCAGAAGAUGAAUGUGGAAAGUCUUCUCACUUGUCUCUACUUGGGAACUGCUAUAUAGAAGUAUGCCCAAGUAUGUCCAAGGAAUCAGUAAGUACCUGAGAUAAUGAAAAACAGCCAGGUGUGCCUUGGAACUUGACAGAGGGAAAACAUAUAUGUACUUUUCUCUCAUUUAACGUGCCAAAGAAAAAUCAGAAAAUAAAGAAGAAAUGGUCAUGACCCUUUCUAAUCAAUGCAGCAAUCUGCAUUCAUAUCAUUGUACUUGUAAAAUAUAUAAAACUAAAUCCUGGGAAUAUAUGUAAAUAUUUUGUGCAUCUUCAAUUUCCAAAAAAAUUACAGUUGAGGACAUGAUCUAUGUUUCUUAAAUAACCUUAUGAUGUAUAUUUUCCUCUCCCUUUUGAAACAUUCAGGGAAUAUUUGUUGUGUCUAUUAUUUUGAAGGAAAUUUUGCACUCAAACUUGAGUAUACUUUGUAACAGACUUUUAUGCAUUAAUAUAAAGUUAGCUGCUGCAACACAUCUGAACUAUCUGAACAUCAUACAAAAGUUAUUGCUGCAUAUGCCCCUGCAACACAGGCUUUCAAAUAACAUGUGACUCUGCUUUUCUGUUUUCUUCCAGAAAGAGAUUCAAAGACCCAGGUAUCUUCCAUUGGUGGCUUUCUCACUGCCAACAUGUGUCUUCAAAUCUGGCUGUGGUUCUUGGUCUCAUUCUGCGAAGUUGUAAAGAGAAAAAUGUACAAAGUCCCAUGGAAGAUGUUUUCACAGGCCAGGCCUGUUCCAAGUGAGUGUCGCUUCCACCCACAUUAACUUGGCCAGAACUCCUUCCUAUGGCCACACCUUUGGACACAGAGGCUGGGAAGGGAGAAUAACUGGUACCAGUGGGAAGAUGAGAUGAGUCUGGUGGAUAAGAAUAACAGUAUACUUAACACUGUGUGUAAAAAUUCUAUUUGUACAACCAACAGCCAGUUUUUUUGCUUGCAUACAUUUUAUGCAAGAAAAAUAUUACUCAAAAUCAGAUUCCACAAAUAAAACCUGGAAAAUAUACCUGAAGGAAGAGGGCAAGAAUAUCGAUCAAUCAGGCUUACAGCAUUAUCAACCUUUUGAAAGUGAUUUCCUGUUGAAUCCCAAGAGUACCGAUAAAAGUUGGAAAAUAGGCAAGAUUACUCUUCUCUAAAAAUGUUAACUGUUAGAAAGAAGGUACUUGAUAGAUUUAGGAAUAUUUAGGCAUGGACUGAUACUGGUGCCAACACCCAUUCACCAUGAGAGACACUCGGGCACCCAGGGUGGUCUAUAUUAUUAUUCACUCAGCAUGCCCAGAGGCUGGCAUGGAACUGACACUUUCCUGGACUUUCAGCACACUGUAACAUUCUGUAGUUUAUGUGAGAUCAUUGUGUGGACAUACAGAUUAUAUGGUCUAGUUUCACAUAAAUACUUAUAAUAUAGACAAGUGACUGGAAAAAAAAAACUGCCAAAAAAUAACAGCUGAAGUGAAUUUUAAUUGUUUACCAUGUGAUCAAGCAAAUGGGCAAAGAGAUGCUUGCACUAUAAAUUGGCUUUUUUUCCCCUUUUGUGGAGAAUGGGGUCUCGCUAUAUUGCCAAGGCAGGUCUCAAACUCCUGGACUCAAGCUAUCUUCCCGCGUCUGCCUCCCUAAGAGUUGGGAUUACAGGUGUGAGCCACCAUGCCCAGCUUGCACUAUAAAUUGGAGCUCUCCAUGGCUGUUGAAGCAAUGACUACCUAAUCAGAUCUGAAAGAAGGUAGCAAACAAAAUUAUAAAGAUGAUUAUUUAAAAUGUGAAAUUUAUGAAUUUUUCUACAUUCUUUCUUUAUUGCAAAAUUCAAGUUUGUCUCAAAGAUAAAUGAAAUAUUUUCUCAUGUACAAAUGUGAAAAAGAUUGUUGAUCUUUUCUGUGGUGACAGUGGUUGUUAGUAAUAUGCUACCAAACAGCUGGAAAAUAAAAACACAAAUCAUUUCUUCAAAAUAAAGUUGAUGUUUUAACAAGAAGAAAAGUGGAUUUCCAAAAGACAUCAUCUGCUACGAGGUAUCAGAUGUUUAUGAAAAUAUUCUUUCUAUCAUGGAAUUUGUUGACAAAAGUGAUUGUGUCACCAAUAAACUGCUCAUAUUUACUUAUA
Long non-coding RNA from Pongo pygmaeus (Bornean orangutan), 17303 nucleotides. RefSeq lists it as uncharacterized. The record is from RefSeq and is a predicted model, not a curated record. The transcript is spliced from 3 exons. Lineage: Eukaryota; Metazoa; Chordata; Mammalia; Primates; Hominidae.